ACGAACGCUGGCGGCGUGCCUAACACAUAGCAAGUCGAGCGAGGAGAGUCCUUCGGGACUGACCCUAGCGGCGGACGGGUGAGUAACACGUGGGCGAACCUGCCUCAUAGAGAGGAAUAGCCUUCCGAAAGGAGAUUAAUACCUCAUAACAUUGCAGUUUCGCAUGGAACAGCAAUUAAAGGAGCAAUCCGCUAUGAGAUGGGGCCCGCGGCGCAUUAGCUAGUUGGUGAGGUAACGGCUCACCAAGGCGACGAUGCGUAGCCGACCUGAGAGGGUGAUCGGCCACAUUGGGACUGAGACACGGCCCAGACUCCUACGGGAGGCAGCAGUGGGGAAUAUUGCACAAUGGGGGAAACCCUGAUGCAAGCAACGCCGCGUGAGUGAUGACGGCCUUCGGGUUGUAAAGCUCUGUCUUCAGGGACGAUAAUGACGGUACCUGAGGAGGAAGCCACGGCUAACUACGUGCCAGCAGCCGC
RNAcentral lists this ribosomal RNA (476 nucleotides) under uncultured bacterium. Its description in RNAcentral is "bacterial SSU rRNA". It matches the Rfam family "Bacterial small subunit ribosomal RNA", at positions 29 to 518 of the family's 1533-position model. The record is from RNAcentral.